RNAcentral lists this unclassified non-coding RNA (1093 nucleotides) under Hevea brasiliensis (rubber tree). Lineage: Eukaryota; Viridiplantae; Streptophyta; Magnoliopsida; Malpighiales; Euphorbiaceae. The record is from RNAcentral.
GGCGCCUUCAUCUUAGUUGUCUUCAUCUUAUUCUACUUUGCAGCCUGGAGCUGCUUUGGGAGUAUUUGGUGGACUGAUCCUUUUUCUUCAUUAUAAUGAUGAAAGAAGAGCAAUUCCAAAAGGUCAAGGCGAGAAAUUUGAAAGAAGUGCAACCCAAGGUCCAAUUAUUGGCGGUCCGUUCAGCUUGUUUGAUACCGAAGGCCGUUUGGUUACCGAGCGCAACUUGCUGGGUAGCUGGGUUCUUCUCUACUUUGGUUAUACAUCAUCUCCUGAUGUUGGUCCAGCAGAAGUACAAAAGAUGGCUAAAACUAUUGAUAUUCUAGGGUCAAAACAGGAUCAUCAUAAGAUCCUCCCAGUAUUUGUCACAAUUGAUCCUCAACGUGAUACGCCUUCGCAACUUCGAGCUUAUCUUAAAGAGUUUGACCCAAGAAUAAUGGGAUUAACUGGACCAGUUGCUGCUGUUAGACAGAUGACACAGGAAUACCGAGUUUACUUUAAGAAGGUUGAUGAAGAAGGAGGUGAUUAUCUGGUAGAAUGUUCUCACAACAUGUAUUUGGUGAAUCCAAAUAUGCGAGUAGUUAGAUGCUUUGGUGUGGAAUACAGUGGGGAGGAACUGGCCGAUGCAAUAGUUAAGGAGCUAAAGAAAGUUGAGAUAUAGCUAUACUCGAAGUGGAUUUGGUGAAGUAAGUACAUCAUACUAAGGUGGAGCCAGACAUUCGAUUUUUGCCUGUUGUCAUGGCAAUUUAAGGACCUUUGCAGCAGCUGAGUUCGAUUAGGUGUGCUAGUCAUCUCUCAACAAUUUACUAGUUUUGAACAGAAAUUUCUCUGAUGGUCAGAGGGUUGAAAAAAAAUAUCUUCAGUUAAAGCAAAUUGGUUCUGGUAGUUUUUUCUCGUCUGGGCUUAAUGAAUUUGGACCUGGUCGGUGGGUAAUGCAAAGUAGGUGGCUGUUUGGUUGCCUAGCAAAAGUUUCAUUCUAUAAUUAAUUAAUUGGAUAUCAGACUGAGUCAAGUUUGAAAACAUUAACUUAUUGAAUUUCAACCUCAUUGUUGACUAAAUAGCUAAUCACUUUUGUCUUGUGAGAAGUGAAAACAAC